RNAcentral lists this ribosomal RNA (564 nucleotides) under uncultured Terriglobales bacterium. RNAcentral describes it as "bacterial SSU rRNA". It matches the Rfam family "Bacterial small subunit ribosomal RNA", at positions 8 to 572 of the family's 1533-position model. Lineage: Bacteria; Pseudomonadati; Acidobacteriota; Terriglobia; Terriglobales. The record is from RNAcentral.
AGAGUUUGAUCCUGGCUCAGAGCGAACGCUGGCGGCGUGCUUAACACAUGCAAGUCGAGUGCGCGUCUGUAGCAAUACAGAUGGCGCACGGCGCACGGGUGCGUAACACGUGGGUAAUCUGCCCUUCGAUGGGGAAUAACUCCGGGAAACCGAAGCUAAUUCCGCAUAACAUUCCUUGAACCUCGGUUUGGGGACUCAAAGCCGUAAGGCGUCGGAGGAGGAACCCGCGCACGAUUAGCUAGUUGGUAGGGUAACGGCCUACCAAGGCUUUGAUCGUUAGCUGGUCUGAGAGGAUGGCCAGCCACACUGGAACUGAGACACGGUCCAGACUCCUACGGGAGGCAGCAGUGGGGAAUCUUGCACAAUGGGCGAAAGCCUGAUGCAGCGACGCCGCGUGGGGGAUGAAGCUUUUCGGAGUGUAAACCCCUUUCGACCCGGACGAAUGUCCCGCAAGGGAACUGACGGUACGGGUAUAAGAAGCCCCGGCUAACUACGUGCCAGCAGCCCGCGGUAAGACGUGGGGGGCCAGCGUUGCUCGGAAUUACUGGGUGUUAAAGGGUUCGU